RNAcentral lists this microRNA precursor (105 nucleotides) under Canis lupus familiaris (dog). Its description in RNAcentral is "mir-8834 microRNA precursor family". It matches the Rfam family "mir-8834 microRNA precursor family". Lineage: Eukaryota; Metazoa; Chordata; Mammalia; Carnivora; Canidae. The record is from Rfam by way of RNAcentral.
AGGAGCAACAGCGCUAGUGGCGGGGCCAGCUCUGGAGCCCUGGAUUCAGCCCCCGCAGGAACUCCGGAGCUCUCCGUCUGCAGGGCCUGGAGGCUCUGGGGCGGG